AACCUCUGCCUCCCGGGUUCAAGUGAUUCUCCUGCCUCAGCCUCCCCAGUAGCUGGGAUUACAGACUACAAAGGCAUUUCUUCCUGCAAUGACGAAGAAUAACCAUGGCCAUAUUGUCACUGUGGCUUCGGCAGCUGGACAUGUCUCGGUCCCCUUCUUACUGGCUUACUGUUCAAGCAAGUUUGCUGCUGUUGGAUUUCAUAAAACUUUGACAGAUGAACUGGCUGCCUUACAAAUAACUGGAGUCAAAACAACAUGUCUGUGUCCUAAUUUCGUAAACACUGGCUUCAUCAAAAAUCCAAGUACAAGUUUGGGACCCACUCUGGAACCUGAGGAAGUGGUAAACAGGCUGAUGCAUGGGAUUCUGACUGAGCAGAAGAUGAUUUUUAUUCCAUCUUCUAUAGCUUUUUUAACAACAUUGGAAAGGAUCCUUCCUGAGCGUUUCCUGGCAGUUUUAAAACGAAAAAUCAGUGUUAAGUUUGAUGCAGUUAUUGGAUAUAAAAUGAAAGCGCAAUAAGCACCUAGUUUUCUGAAAACUGAUUUACCAGGUUUAGGUUGAUGUCAUCUAAUAGUGCCAGAAUUUUAAUGUUUGAACUUCUGUUUUUUCUAAUUAUCCCCAUUUCUUCAAUAUCAUUUUUGAGGCUUUGGCAGUCUUCAUUUACUACCACUUGUUCUUUAGCCAAAAGCUGAUUACAUAUGAUAUAAACAGAGAAAUACCUUUAGAGGUGACUUUAAGGAAAAUGAAGAAAAAGAACCAAAAUGACUUUAUUAAAAUAAUUUCCAAGAUUAUUUGUGGCUCACCUGAAGGCUUUGCAAAAUUUGUACCAUAACCGUUUAUUUAAC
Molecule: long non-coding RNA, 843 nt
Filed under: Homo sapiens (human)
Lineage: Eukaryota; Metazoa; Chordata; Mammalia; Primates; Hominidae
Description: non-protein coding lnc-HSD17B11-1:3
Source: RNAcentral